This 72-nucleotide transfer RNA is filed under the name Paramuricea clavata. It matches the Rfam family "tRNA". From Rfam's summary of the family: Transfer RNA (tRNA) molecules are approximately 80 nucleotides in length. Lineage: Eukaryota; Metazoa; Cnidaria; Anthozoa; Malacalcyonacea; Plexauridae. The record is from Rfam by way of RNAcentral.
GACCGCGUAGCUCAGUUGGCAGAGCAUUGGGCUAGUAUUCCAAAGGUCGUAGGUUCAAUUCCCACCGUGGCA